ACCUUCGUGGUGUAACGGUAGCAAACUCAACAUGUAUUCGAGAGGUCGAGGUUCGAUUCCUGGCGAGGGCA
Molecule: transfer RNA, 71 nt
Filed under: Stegodyphus mimosarum
Lineage: Eukaryota; Metazoa; Arthropoda; Arachnida; Araneae; Eresidae
Rfam family: tRNA
About the family: Transfer RNA (tRNA) molecules are approximately 80 nucleotides in length. Their secondary structure includes four short double-helical elements and three loops (D, anti-codon, and T loops). Further hydrogen bonds mediate the characteristic L-shaped molecular structure. tRNAs have two regions of fundamental functional importance: the anti-codon, which is responsible for specific mRNA codon recognition, and the 3' end, to which the tRNAs corresponding amino acid is attached (by aminoacyl-tRNA synthetases). tRNAs cope with the degeneracy of the genetic code in two manners: having more than one tRNA (with a specific anti-codon) for a particular amino acid; and 'wobble' base-pairing, i.e. permitting non-standard base-pairing at the 3rd anti-codon position.
Source: Rfam by way of RNAcentral